Centruroides sculpturatus (bark scorpion) is the source of this 395-nucleotide long non-coding RNA. RefSeq lists it as uncharacterized. The transcript is spliced from 3 exons. The record is from RefSeq and is a predicted model, not a curated record. NCBI's taxonomy places the organism in Eukaryota, Metazoa, Arthropoda, Arachnida, Scorpiones, Buthidae.
AAUGCUUCUAAAUGAUAGUUAAAAACUUUUAUUUCUCGCUAGAGUAUAAAGAAAAACAUCCCAAGACAAGGAGAGUCUUUUCCAGAGGAGUUCAUCUGUCAGAUCCAGAAACAAAAAGUGAAGUUUAAAAAAAAAAAUCUUGCCAAAUUUCCUUGCACCACCCAUAAAACCACUGUAAUUGGCCGACAUCUGCAGCCGUGAAGAUUGAACAAAAAUAUCCAAGAGAACAAUGACCGGUUAUGAUACAGAUGAAAAAUUGCUUCCUAGCAAGAGAUAGGGAAGAGAGGAGACAAAAGUGAAGAGAUGAAAAUAACGAUUGAACUGAUAGAAGCGAUUUUGAAGCAUGAAAAGAACUGUCAACUGGCGAAUAAUUGUAUUAAUUUAUUAGUUUUGAC